CGUAGGUGGCAAGCGUUGUCCGGAUUUAUUGGGUUUAAAGGGUGCGUAGGCGGCCCCGUAAGUCAGUGGUGAAAUAUCUCAGCUUAACUGAGAGGGUGCCAUUGAUACUGCGGGGCUUGAGUACAGAUGAGGUAGGCGGAAUUGACGGUGUAGCGGUGAAAUGCAUAGAUAUCGUCAAGAACUCCGAUAGCGAAGGCAGCUUACUAAGCUGUAACUGACGCUGAGGCACGAAAGUGUGGGAUCAAACAGGAUUAGAUACCCUGGUAGUCCACACUGUAAACGUUGAUGACUCGAUGUUGGCGAUACACAGCCAGCGUCCAAGAGCAAUCGUUAAGUCAUCCACCUGGGGAGUACGCCGGCAACGGUG
This 367-nucleotide ribosomal RNA is filed under the name uncultured organism. RNAcentral describes it as "bacterial SSU rRNA". It matches the Rfam family "Bacterial small subunit ribosomal RNA", at positions 526 to 896 of the family's 1533-position model. The record is from RNAcentral.